RNAcentral lists this ribosomal RNA (332 nucleotides) under uncultured Archangium sp. RNAcentral describes it as "bacterial SSU rRNA". It matches the Rfam family "Bacterial small subunit ribosomal RNA", at positions 568 to 898 of the family's 1533-position model. Lineage: Bacteria; Pseudomonadati; Myxococcota; Myxococcia; Myxococcales; Archangiaceae. The record is from RNAcentral.
CGUGUAGGCGGCAGUGCAAGUCGGGUGUGAAAGCCCUCAGCUCAACUGAGGAAGUGCGCCCGAAACUGCAUUGCUUGAGUACCGGAGAGGAUGGUGGAAUUCCCGAAGUAGAGGUGAAAUUCGUAGAUAUCGGGAGGAACACCGGUGGCGAAGGCGACCAUCUGGACGGAUACUGACGCUGAGACGCGAAAGCGUGGGUAGCAAACAGGAUUAGAUACCCUGGUAGUCCACGCCGUAAACGAUGAGAACUAGGUGUUGUGGGUGUUGACCCCCGCGGUGCCGAAGCUAACGCAUUAAGUUCUCCGCCUGGGAAGUACGGCCGCAAGGCUAAA